CCUCGAAUCAGGUGGGACUACCCGCUGAACUUAAGCAUAUCAAUAAGCGGAGGAAAAGAAACUAACAAGGAUUCCCCUAAUAACUGCGAGUGAAGCGGGAAAAGCUCAAAUUCAAAAUCUGGCAGUCUUUGGCUGUCCGAGUUGUAGUCUGGAGAAGCGUCUUCCGCGCUGGACCGUGUACAAGUCUCCUGGAACGGAGCGUCAUAGAGGGUGAGAAUCCCGUCUUUGACACGGACUACCAGUGCUUUGUGAUGCGCUCUCAAAGAGUCGAGUUGUUUGGGAAUGCAGCUCAAAAUGGGUGGUAAACUCCAUCUAAAGCUAAAUAUUGGCGAGAGACCGAUAGCGAACAAGUACCGUGAGGGAAAGAUGAAAAGAACUUUGGAAAGAGAGUUAAACAGUACGUGAAAUUGUUGAAAGGGAAACGCUUGAAGUCAGCCGCGUUGGUCUGGGAUCAGCCCCGCAGAUGCGAGGUGCAUUCCCUGAUCAACGGGCCAGCAUCAAUUCUGACCGGCGGAGAAAGUUCAAGGGAAUGUGGCAUCCUCGGAUGUGUUAUAGCCUUUGAUCGCAUACGCCGGUUGGGAUUGAGGAACUCAGCACGCCGUAUGGCAGGGUGUUCUGCACCACUUCCGUGCU
Molecule: ribosomal RNA, 633 nt
Filed under: uncultured Basidiomycota
Lineage: Eukaryota; Fungi; Basidiomycota
Description: LSU rRNA
Rfam family: Eukaryotic large subunit ribosomal RNA
Source: RNAcentral